Molecule: long non-coding RNA, 619 nt
Filed under: Anas platyrhynchos platyrhynchos (common mallard)
Lineage: Eukaryota; Metazoa; Chordata; Aves; Anseriformes; Anatidae
Description: lncRNA (ENSAPLG00000027026.1)
Source: RNAcentral
UAUCUCACCCGUUUAGAAGAGUUGACUUCAUGUUAACCCAAUUAAAUAUUUUAAGCAGUGACUAUAUUAUAUUUCUCUUCUAGCACACCCGUCCCUUAGAUUGAGAACUUCACUGCACUGAGUGCUUUGCUGGUACAGAGAGCAGCUGCCCCACUCCAGGAGUGCACUGAGGCUGCCUUUCUGACUUCUGUUUGGCCUGGGGGUUGUCCUGUCAUGGAAGCUGGAAGUAGACAUUGCUUGUGCCAUCAACAACUCACCUGUGACAAUGGACCUCAUCUUUAAGAGAAUGGACCUGAUGGAGAGGAUGUGUUGUGCUUGUUUCUUCAGUCUUCACCCUGUAGACUUUCUGAGGCUGAACAGCAAGUUGACAAAAAAAUAUAUGCUGAAAGUUGUGAUACUUCAAAGGACAUAUAAUCUGCUGUGCUUUUCAAAACCCCAAAAUAGGUAAGAUGAAAUCAAAUUUUAUACUAGAUUGUGUUUUGCCAGUCAGGCACCAUUAUAAUUUGACAGGCAUGAUGUGAUGCAAUGAAAUGUGAAUGACAUAACCUAGCGUGACAUAACUGAUAGGCCAACAUAGAAAUUUAAUAAACAUUUCCAAUAAGUUUGCUAUACUCUGCCU